Molecule: ribosomal RNA, 241 nt
Filed under: uncultured bacterium
Lineage: Bacteria
Description: partial 16S ribosomal RNA
Rfam family: Bacterial small subunit ribosomal RNA
Source: RNAcentral
GAUCCUGGCUCAGGAUGAACGCUGGCGGCGUGCUUAACAUAUGCAAGUCGAGCGAAGCACUUAAGUUUGAUUCUUCGGAUGAAGACUUUUGUGACUGAGCGGCGGACGGGUGAGUAACGCGUGGGUAACCUGCCUCAUACAGGGGGAUAACAGUUAGAAAUGGCUGCUAAUACCGCAUAAGACCACAGUACUGCAUGGUACAGUAGGUAAAACGUCCGGUGGUAUGAGAGUCGGACCCGCG